UCGAUGUCGCAUCCGAGAUACCGGACCAU
This 29-nucleotide small RNA is filed under the name Bombyx mori (domestic silkworm). RNAcentral describes it as "ovarian small RNA-28502". The record is from RNAcentral. Lineage: Eukaryota; Metazoa; Arthropoda; Insecta; Lepidoptera; Bombycidae.